Molecule: ribosomal RNA, 76 nt
Filed under: Retrovarium brooksi
Lineage: Eukaryota; Metazoa; Platyhelminthes; Trematoda; Opisthorchiida; Cryptogonimidae
Also listed under: 1 other name
Description: partial 28S ribosomal RNA
Rfam family: Eukaryotic large subunit ribosomal RNA
Source: RNAcentral
CCUGACCUCGGAUCAGACGUGAAUACCCGCUGAACUUAAGCAUAUCACUAAGCGGAGGAAAAGAAACUAACCAGGA